UACGGAGGGUGCAAGCGUUAAUCGGAAUUACUGGGCGUAAAGGGUGCGUAGGUGGUCAAGUAAGUUAUCUGUAAAAUCCCUGGGCUUAACCUGGGCAGGUCAGAUAAGACUGCAUGACUCGAGUAUGGGAGAGGGUAGUGGAAUUUCCGGUGUAGCGGUGAAAUGCGUAGAGAUCGGAAGGAACACCAGUGGCGAAGGCGGCUACCUGGCCUAAUACUGACACUGAGGCACGAAAGCGUGGGGAGCAAACAGG
RNAcentral lists this ribosomal RNA (253 nucleotides) under uncultured bacterium. Its description in RNAcentral is "partial 16S ribosomal RNA". It matches the Rfam family "Bacterial small subunit ribosomal RNA", at positions 524 to 776 of the family's 1533-position model. The record is from RNAcentral.